AAUGCUAAGAGAAUGGAAAUUCAGAAAAAAACUUUCUUUAAAUUAAAAAUUGAAGUUUUUUUAAUUUGUGCAGAAACAAUUAUUAAUAUUAAGGACAAGAAGACCCUACGAAUUUAUUAAAUUUUAUUUAAUAUGUAAUUACUAUUAAUAAAAUUUUGACUGGGGCGGUUAAAAAAUAUUUCAAACUUUUUAAAAAUAAAAUGACCCAUUAUUAGUGAUUUUAUGUUAAAUACUCUAGGGAUAACAGCGUA
This 251-nucleotide ribosomal RNA is filed under the name Rhipicephalus camicasi. RNAcentral describes it as "partial large subunit ribosomal RNA". Lineage: Eukaryota; Metazoa; Arthropoda; Arachnida; Ixodida; Ixodidae. The record is from RNAcentral.